UUUGGGUGUUUUCCAAAAAAAAUUGGGUGCCUUUCAAGUCAAUUUUAUGUGCUUCUGAGAAACAAAGAUACAGAGUGCAAGAGAAAGAUAGGGAGAUUCAGAAAAGAGAGGGUGACGUGUCUCCGGCGAUAGGUUCCCGGCAUGUGGAGAUGGUGGCGGCUCAAGGGUGGUCUACGAAGUCGGAUAGAUGACUGUUGUGCUACGCUUCAAUCUUAAACGAUGACACCUUACCCGGCGACGAUACUACUGGCCGGCGUAAAACCUCAACGCUGUCGUUACUCCGGUGGUGGCCGGGUUUUUGCUGAUCUGAUCAGUUAUGGACAUGAAGUGAAGGUUUUCUUUGUCCAAUUUGCAUUAUUGUUACAUGAUUUUGGUGAUACGUUGCAUUCAUGGAUCGACAUUAUGCUUAAAUUGAUGUUAUAGUGAUUCGAACAACUGAAACGGAUAGGUUGUCAACUAGUUACAACCGAUGAUGUCGAUAAACUUAUUGCGGGUGAAUGCGUACCAACUACUAAUGGAUGACCAAGGUAGAUAGGUAAGCGAGUCCAAGUGCAGAUGCCAUAUAAUGAUAAUCCUUGAAGACGGCGAGGGGUCACCUUAUUAUUUUGGAUCUAGGCAUCUUUCCCUGCUGUGGUUAGCCGCCCGGCGAUCUCCGAGAGCGAUGCUAGGGUUACCCUUUGGAGUUUAGUUAUUGCUCAUUUGCGCGUGUUGACGUCCUCAGCUAUUUGAUUCACGUUACCAGGUAUUAAUCGGGCCUCCUUUUUCGGUCUACCUUUUAUUUUGUUGUAUUUAUAUAUGAUACUAGAGAGAUUUUGUUUUCAACUUUUUGCCUUUGUUACAAAGGGGAUCGAGGGACUAUGACUUCCCCAAAUCUGCAUAGCUUAUAUCGAUACUAAUUCAACAUCUUUUGAGUUUUUCUUGAUUAUACUCUUUUUUGGAUGUGGUGGGAAAUGACUUCCCUAAAUCCGCAUAACUGUGAGCGGUGAUCAAGAUAGGAAGGUUAACUGUUGAGUCCAAUAUGAUCCUCAUUGUAAACUUCUUUCCCCCAUCUUUUUAUUAUAAUGUUAUUUUCUAUCCAUUUUGCAAAGUGCUUUACUCUUUAUCAAGAGCAGUCAAGUAUUUUACUAAAAUAUGGUUGAUUUGGUAAUUUUACUAUUUUACACUCCAUCCUCAUUACUAAGGGGGUGUUUGGCCUAGCUUUUUUUUAACAAAAUAAGCUUCAUUUGGUGUUUAUUUUAGCUUUUUAAACUUAUGCUUAUUAGCUUAUAUAAGCUAAUUUGAAUAAGCUUAUUUGAACAUGGUUUUUAAGCUUAUUUGAAGAAUGAUAGAAAAUAAGCUAUAAGCUAAUCCAAACACUUAAAAAGAGCUUAUCAAAUGAUAAAAAAUAAGCUAUAAGCUACUUUAAAAUAUAAGCAUAAGCCAAAAAAUAAAAGCUAGGCCAAACACCCCCUAAAGUUAUUGUAACUUAUUAGCCUCCUAAAAAAAUUUAUGUGCAUUUUUUAUUUAAUUUUAUACGUGCAUUUAGUAGUUAAUCUGUGAUUGCAUAAUGUGAAAAAGGGGACUUUGAUAUGAUCUUAAUAAUAAUUGGCGCUUUUGAUACUUUUUAUUUCUGUUUUUUCUGUUUUGAUCAGGUUACUGGGUUGGGUCGUCUAGCAAGUUUUGCUCUUCUACUAUGAUUCAAUUAUAUUAUGUGUUCUUUUCUAGUAAUAACUGAUGUGUACUCUGGAUACAAUGUGCAUACACAAAAACCCCUUUAAAAUUGUGUUUGUUAGGUAAUGAACCGAGUUGAAUGGGUUAUCCUAUGUUCUAUUUUCGGGUUACUACAGUUUUUUAAUGAAGUUAUUUUGGUUGAUUGGUUUUACAUUGUAGUGUGAUACGGGUGCAGCAUGAACUGGCGCACAAAGGGCCACCUACAUCUACAUUUUGCUGCCUAAAACUACAGCUUAAUUCUGAAAUUGAAUGUGUUUACUAGCUAUGUAUUUUGGUUCCCUUUAACAAAGAUAUACAAGUAUUAUAAUAUGUUAUGCUGUUUGUAAUAGCAUGAUGGGGUGCAAGUCAUCGGCAUAUCGACCUGAAGUCUGUCGCAGUUAUAUUGUCCCUUUCAAGCUAUUAAAUGUUGUUGGUGUAAUCAAUUAGAAUUGUGCAAUAUGGUGGGUUUUUUUUUUAAAUGGAACAGAAUCUGUAGUCAUUAUUAUCUGGUGAAAACAUCAUGGAUUGAUAUGUUUGUUAAGCGUAUAAAUUCAAAAUGUGUA
Molecule: long non-coding RNA, 2252 nt
Organism: Helianthus annuus (common sunflower)
Lineage: Eukaryota; Viridiplantae; Streptophyta; Magnoliopsida; Asterales; Asteraceae
Exons: 5
Source: RefSeq, a predicted model, not a curated record